UGGUAUAUCCCAUGACCAUUGUUUGUUGACAGGUCCAAAACAUUAGACCAUGCAUCUGACAAAUUAUGCCAUCCCUUAUUUCUUCCUUGUGUUUCAGGUGGCACAAAACAGGACCUUAACCAGGGCGUUCCCGAUGGGUUGCAACAGAAUAGGACAGAAGAACAAGAUUUACCACCAUUCGAAGCACUACACGAUAGUAUUGCUUAUCAGAAUGUAAUUCACUACUCCUGGCAACAUGUUCACUUCUGGUUCUCAAAAAAAAAUCACUCAUUUAGUGUCCCAACUGUUGUCUACCUUCCUCACC
This 304-nucleotide long non-coding RNA is filed under the name Setaria viridis. RNAcentral's name for it is "long non-coding RNA (SVIR_LNC010505)". Lineage: Eukaryota; Viridiplantae; Streptophyta; Magnoliopsida; Poales; Poaceae. The record is from RNAcentral.